This is a non-coding RNA of Erinaceus europaeus (western European hedgehog), 104 nucleotides long. NCBI's taxonomy places the organism in Eukaryota, Metazoa, Chordata, Mammalia, Eulipotyphla, Erinaceidae. The record is from Rfam.
GUGCUUGUUUUGGAAGCACACAUACAGAAAUUGCCAUGAUAGAGAGAUUAUUAUGGCCCCUCCAUAAAGAUAAUACAUAAAUUCAUGAAGUGUUCCAUAUUUUA